GGUGGGUACGGGCAGACUAGAGUGAUGUAGGGGAGACUGGAAUUCCUGGUGUAGCGGUGAAAUGCGCAGAUAUCAGGAGGAACACCGAUGGCGAAGGCAGGUCUCUGGGCAUUAACUGACGCUGAGGAGCGAAAGCAUGGGGAGCGAACAGGAUUAGAUACCCUGGUAGUCCAUGCCGUAAACGUUGGGCACUAGGUGUGGGGGACAUUCCACGUUUUCUGCGCCGUAGCUAACGCAUUAAGUGCCCCGCCUGGGGAGUACGGCCACAAGGCUAAAACUCAAAGGAAUUGACGGGGGCCCGCACAAGCGGCGGAGCAUGCGGAUUAAUUCGAUGCAACGCGAAGAACCUUACCAAGGCUUGACAUGAACCGGUAACGCCUGGAGACAGGUGCCCCGCUUGCGGUCGGUUUACAGGUGGUGCAUGGUUGUCGUCAGCUCGUGUCGUGAGAUGUUGGGUUAAGUCCCGCAACGAGCGCAACCCUCGUUCUAUGUUGCCAGCACGUGAUGGUGGGGACUCAUAGGAGACUGCCGGGAUCAACUCGGAGGAAGGUGGGGACGACGUCAAAUCAUCAUGCCCCUUAUGUCUUGGGCUUCACGCAUGCUACAAUGGCCGGUACAAAGGGUUGCGAUACUGUGAGGUGGAGCUAAUCCCAAAAAGCCGGUCUCAGUUCGGAUUGGGGUCUGCAACUCGACCCCAUGAAGUCGGAGUCGCUAGUAAUCGCAGAUCAGCAACGCUGCGGUGAAUACGUUCCCGGGCCUU
RNAcentral lists this ribosomal RNA (760 nucleotides) under uncultured soil bacterium. RNAcentral describes it as "bacterial SSU rRNA". It matches the Rfam family "Bacterial small subunit ribosomal RNA", at positions 625 to 1382 of the family's 1533-position model. The record is from RNAcentral.